This 465-nucleotide ribosomal RNA is filed under the name uncultured bacterium. RNAcentral's name for it is "partial 16S ribosomal RNA". It matches the Rfam family "Bacterial small subunit ribosomal RNA", at positions 28 to 507 of the family's 1533-position model. The record is from RNAcentral.
GACGAACGCUGGCGGCGUGCUUAACACAUGCAAGUCGAACGGAAAGGCCCCUUUGGGGGUACUCGAGUGGCGAACGGGUGAGUGACACGUGAGUAACCUGCCCUUGACUUCGGGAUAACUUCAGGAAACUGGGGCUAAUACCGGAUAGGAAUCCUUGCUGCAUGGUGGGGGUUGGAAAGCUUCGGCGGUUUUGGAUGGACUCGCGGCUUAUCAGCUUGUUGGUGGGGUAGUGGCUUACCAAGGCUUUGACGGGUAGCCGGCCUGAGAGGGCGACCGGCCACAUUGGGACUGCGAUACGGCCCAGACUCCUACGGGAGGCAGCAGGGGGGAAUAUUGCACAAUGGGCGGAAGCCUGAUGCAGCAACGCCGCGUGCGGGAUGACGGCCUUCGGGUUGUAAACCGCUUUCAGCAGGGGCGAAGCUUGUGGUGACGGUACCUGCAGAAGAAGCACCGGCUAACUACGUG